This 73-nucleotide transfer RNA is filed under the name Aulorhynchus flavidus (tube-snout). Its description in RNAcentral is "tRNA-Asp". It matches the Rfam family "tRNA". From Rfam's summary of the family: Transfer RNA (tRNA) molecules are approximately 80 nucleotides in length. Their secondary structure includes four short double-helical elements and three loops (D, anti-codon, and T loops). Lineage: Eukaryota; Metazoa; Chordata; Actinopteri; Perciformes; Aulorhynchidae. The record is from RNAcentral.
AAGACACUAGUAAAGUAGUAUAUUACACCGCUUUGUCAAAGCAGAGUCGUGGGUUAAAAUCCCGCGUGUCUUA